AAAAAGGGCCGGGCGUGGGCUUUAGUAGUCAGCCGCACCUUGUGUUUUAAGAAAACCAGGUGGAAUUAACAAAUGAAACUUGGUCAAGAUGUUAAGGGAG
Rhagoletis zephyria (snowberry fruit fly) is the source of this 100-nucleotide long non-coding RNA. RefSeq lists it as uncharacterized. The record is from RefSeq and is a predicted model, not a curated record. Lineage: Eukaryota; Metazoa; Arthropoda; Insecta; Diptera; Tephritidae.